UUUUGUGGUCCUGAUGGACUGAAUGCAUCUGAUUUUGGAAGCUAAGCAGUCCUACUCCUGGAUAGUGCUUGGCUACAAGCCGAAUUUGGAGUAGCUACCAGUC
Molecule: ribosomal RNA, 103 nt
Filed under: Crocodylus porosus (Australian saltwater crocodile)
Lineage: Eukaryota; Metazoa; Chordata; Crocodylia; Crocodylidae
Source: RNAcentral